GUGUGUGUAUGUAUAUAUAUAGAGUCACAAUGAGGAUAUUUAAACCUCUUACAGGGAUAUUUAUAUCCAAAAUUCACUGGUUUUAUAUAUAUAAUAUUUUGAAGAGACAUUUCUUCAAUGAAUAUAUUAUAUGGAAUAUCGUAAAAUAUCAAA
This is a long non-coding RNA of Octopus sinensis (East Asian common octopus), 153 nucleotides long. RefSeq lists it as uncharacterized. Lineage: Eukaryota; Metazoa; Mollusca; Cephalopoda; Octopoda; Octopodidae. The transcript is spliced from 3 exons. The record is from RefSeq and is a predicted model, not a curated record.